This 644-nucleotide long non-coding RNA is filed under the name Homo sapiens (human). RNAcentral describes it as "HSALNT0019450". The record is from RNAcentral. Lineage: Eukaryota; Metazoa; Chordata; Mammalia; Primates; Hominidae.
AGGAGAUGUAUCAUUAGCAUCUAAUAAAAGGUUGUGACUAGAUCAACUUUCUUACUUUCCCUGGUUGUCCCUGAUAAAGAGAGAGAAUGGAUGGCAGAGCCGCCCUUAAUCCUUUUGCUCCCAAGUGUAAGGCUUAACAACUGCUUGAGGUAUGGAUAUUUGGCAGGAGCCACUCUUUUAGGAGGAGCCACCAACUUGGACCAUGAGUAGGAAGACCAUGCCUGAGGGAAAACAAAGGAGGCUCAUUCCAGGAAGAUUUCAUCAAGCCCACACAAUCGCCAUGGUACUGUGCCACGAAAUUCCAGCCUCCUUCACCUCUCUGAACUCUGGUGUGUGUGUCUUUAAUUCGGUGAGAUCAAUGGGAUCUUCCUGUGUUUGCCCUCCCAUAGAAGGCACCAUGUUUUGUAAUGUGUCUUCAUGAAAAAAGCCGUGAUGAUAUCAGUCUCAGUCUCAGUCUCUGCUUUUUUCCCUUCUGUCUCUCUCUCCUUUUUUUUUUUUUUUUUUUUUUUAGACGGAGUUUCACUCUUGUUGCCCAGGCUGGAGUGCAAUGGUGCGAUCUCGGCUCACCACAAUCUCCGCCUCCUGGGUUCAAGCGAUUCUCAUGCCUCAGCCUUCCAAAUAGCUGGGAUUACAGGAGUGCGCCA